ACGAGGAGGCGUAAAGAAAGCCAUUGUGAGUUUCCUUCUACUACUUGGAGCGAUGUUUAUAACACGUACAGUACGAAGCUCAGAACUGAGGAAUAUACCGUGUCUCAACCUCAUCGGGAAGAAAGGAGCGGAUCCAUAAGAUCUAAAAUAGAAAAAAGAUCAUGUAAGAACAUGUACGAUCCAUAUGUGGGACCUGCAAGAAAAUAUUCGCG
This 212-nucleotide long non-coding RNA is filed under the name Nicotiana benthamiana. Its description in RNAcentral is "long non-coding RNA (NBEN_LNC017287)". Lineage: Eukaryota; Viridiplantae; Streptophyta; Magnoliopsida; Solanales; Solanaceae. The record is from RNAcentral.